AUGUAAAAGACACUGGUUCCUGUUUAUGUAACUUAUUUUCUUGUUAGAGAUAUAACCUAAGAAGCACAAACACACCUCUCCAAAGUGUCGUGUUGGCGUGUCAUACACAUUUCGGACACCGUCACUUCUUGGACACACCUUGAAAACAUGUCAGACACCUCUUAAAUAAUUCCAAUCUAAAAAACUGUUAGACAUGUCUUGAACAUGCACCAAGAAACCGGGCCGACACUUGGUCAGGGCCCUUAAGAUCGAAUUUCAUUAUAUAACUUUUUUACUAGAUGUAACAUCAAGUUGUUUUCUUUUGUGAUUUAUUUUUUCAGAUGAGGUCUUAUGCAAAAAGUGGAGAGAAUCCACCAGAUGGAUUUAUGUGCCCAAGUGGAUGGAAAGUUCUUGUCAAUUAUUAUGAAAGUUUGCAGACAGAAGAAGCAUCACAACAGCCUGUGUUAUCUUCUUAGACAUAACUACAGCUACUGCUAGAAGUUUUUGCAUUAAUUGAUUCUAGAACAAGAGUGUUAAGAGUAAAACUUAGGGAGUGCCAAUUUUUAUGCAUGGUCUUCCAACAUCAUGAUCAAGAAUUCGGCAAUGCGCAAGCAUAUUUGAAAUUUUUGUAACAUACUGAAUCAUGGUCAUCCUCUAAACAUGGUAUUAUAAUGAUUAUCGUCAUACUCGCUUUUGUAAAUAAUUCCUAUAUCAUAACAUAUAUCUUUAUAGACAACAAGUUCGGUGUCCUCCCCACACCCUUUGGCACAAGGUAACACACAAACACACAUAUAUAAGGACAAAUCUAGAAAUAUUGAUUAAUGAGCGUAAUAACAUGUACAUUAAUUUUUCGAGUGAAAUCAUUUACGAUAAAUAUUUACAUAAGAAUAUAAUUAUCAUUAAAAACUCAAACACUACGAAAAUUAUUCAUUUUAUAUCGAAAAAUUUAAAUACACCAAAAGAUCUACGAAAUAUAUUUCUUCAUUGGUCUUAUGUUUUGAAAUUAUGUUUUUUUUUUCUUUUCAUUUUCAACAUUAUUGAAUUAUUUCUAUGUACGUGUAAAACCAAUUAUUCGAUAAUUUAACUCUUAUACCCCUUUCCAAAAAUAAAACUCUUAUACCGUUUCAUAUUUUUUUCUUCAAAAAUAAAAUUAUUUAGCAACAUUCUUUUUUUUUUAAGAAAUCAAAAUGGAAUUAUAUAACACACCAAACAUUAGUUCUCAAGCACAAGGUGUGCCUAGGAAACCACUAAAAGUUACAAGAGUUUAAAGACUACAACAACCAGAGAUAACACUAGUUAGCCAAGCCUAAACAAGCAAAAGGGUCUGACCACCAUCUCUGCAUACCAUAAACAAACACAACAUUUUUAGCUUUCAGCCACCCCAAAGAUAACAAUUUAACCUUAUCUAACAAUUGAUGGACAAGAUUAACGGAAUUAUUGAAAAGACGGUUGUUACGUUCACUCCACAAAACCCAAGAAUACAAAAGUCAAAUAAGCUGUAAGAACGAUCUUUUUGCUUUACCAACACCUGCCAAAUGAGUAAAGUGCACCAGAUGAUCUGUAAUGAUAAUAGGGUACACUCCUAAAAUACCAAUCCAAUCACGCACAACAUUCUAUAUGGGCAAAACUUAUUUUUAACUGUAAAAAAAAUACAAUUACUCAGACAACUUUAAAUAAAAUAAUAGAGUAAGUGAGGCAAGUACCUCCAAUUACAUGAUCGUGCAUUCGUGUCUGAUUACAUCACUACAUAAAGAGAUAUAGUCUUUAACAAAGACUCAGUCUCUUUUCAAGUACUUUUGAUUUUGAAAGUUAAGUACUUUGAAAAUAAAUCUCUUGAUUUCUUUGAAAAAUUAACGAGUAAAUAGGCAAAAAAACCCCUGAAAUUGUAGCUUUCGUCAAAAACCUCCCUGAUUUUUAGGAAACUUCAAAAAGCCCCCUGAAAUUGACAAACGUUAGUCAAUCACCCCCCUCCAUUUGUUUUGGCUGUUAAAUGACUUUUUUUUUUUUUUUGCUUUCUUCAUCUUCUUCCUUCCACUUUUUUCAUCAUCUUCAUGAAUAUUUAUAAAAAAUCCAGAAAAAAAAUUAAGAAACAACAACCAUUAACAUCAUCAUCAUCUCAUUACUAGCUUCUCUUGUUUGUUGCUCAUUAUUGUUAUCCAAAAGGGUCGUAGCAGAAAGAUCAAGAGACAAUUGAUGAUGAUGAUCAUUGUUGUUGAUAAUCUCAUCGCUGCUCCAAAAAGGAAAUCCAUUUGAAUGAGGGUUCAAAAGUGAUUGAUUCUGAAGAGGAGACAUGAGUGAUGAUGGAACAAUAUGAGAAUGAGAAGAAACAUUGAUGUUGAUGUUGGUGUUCAUGCUAUUCAUCAUAACCCUUGUUCUUUUUCCAACAAGUCCACGAUCUUUUCUGUUAUUCAUUUUGUUGUUGAUGAAUUCCAAAGGGUUGUUGUUGAUUAAUUCAAGAAGGUAACAAACAAGAGAGAGAGAGAGAGAAUCAUUAGAAAGUGUGUGAUGUUGAUGAUGAUGUUGUUGUUAAUGGUUGUUGUUUCUUAAAAUUUUUCUGGAUUUUUUUAUGAAUGUUGAUGAAGAUGAUGAAAAAAGUGGAAGGAAGAAGAUGAAGAAAGCAAAAAGAAAUUAAAAAAUAGUCAUUUAACAGCCAAAACAAACGGAGAGGGAUAAUUGACUAACGUUUGAUAAUUUCAGGGGAGUUUUUGAAGUUUCUUAAAAAUCAGGAAAGUUUUUGACGAAAGUUAUAAUUUCAAGGGGGUUUUUGCCUAUUCCCUUGAAAAUAUAUAAAAACAAAUAAAAAUGAAAAUAUUAAAAGAUGUCGUUAAUGUAUAUCUAAUGUGGAGUCGUUGUAUAGAUAAAAGUGGAAUUAGCGUUUUUCUUUCUUAUUUCUACAUAAAGAGAUAAAGUCUUUGUAUAGAUAAAUAUGGAAUUAUUGUUUUUCUUUCCUAUUUUAAUUGUGAAAUCCGUUUAUUUUAUAUAAAGAUAUUUUUCUUUAGGAAAAUGUUAACUAUGUCUUAAAAUACUAGUUAAGAAGUAAAUAUAGUAUGUAUUGUAUUGUAAAUUGUGUUCUAAUCCCUUAAAAGUUAAUAAAGUGUCUUUUUCAAUUUUUUUUUUCUUAACCCAUUUUCUUUAAUAGGUUGAACUUCAUAUCGGGUAAAUGACUCCAAAUUAAACAUGCUUUAACCACGUUCUUUAACAUUACUAGCAUUAUUUAUUUUUACAUCUGUUUAUAUAUUUACAAGGUUCAUUUUCCAAAGCAAUCAAAAGAUUCAUUUUCAAAAGUACUUAAUUUUCAAAAUCAAUAAUAUUCUCACCCUGCUCCACUUUUCAGUCCCAAUUCAUAUUUUGAUGCAUCUUUUUGGCACCAUUAUGGUCCCACCAAUACAAAUUGCAUCUUUUAAAGCAUGCAUGCACUACCACACUUUUCUCAUCCACACAAUCAAAAAAAACAUGAUCAUAGAAAACCACUUCUUGUGAAUCCAAUCCAACAUGUUCGCCAUAGUCAUAGGUGGUUGUUAUUAUUAUUAUGUCACAUUGAAACAAUUCAACAACAUUAGUACUAUUGUGUUCUGUUCCCCCACGUUCUUCUCUUCUCUCUCUCCAACACCAUAACCAUCAAUUUCCCAUAAUGUCUCUAACCAUUAAGUUACAAUUAGUUUCUCAUCUUAACAUCAAUCACAACAAUAACCAUGCAAACAAAUUAAUCAAAAUCAAAAACAACACUUUUGGUAACACUUUAAACUUUCUUCCAAAACCCACUUUUGGUAACAAUUCAUUAACUGUUACUAAAAAGUCUAAUAAUAAAGUUAAGAGAAGAAUGCAAGGAAAUUUCAUGAUCAAAAGCUCUUUGAUAGAACCAGAUGGGGGUGUAUUAGUAGAUCUUAUGGUGCCUGAAAAUGAAAGAGAGUCCAAGGUACUUGAAGCUAAGUCACUUCCUAAUGUGAAACUAACAAAAGUUGAUUAUGAAUGGGUGCAUGUAAUUGGUGAAGGUUGGGCUAGUCCUUUGAAAGGUUUCAUGAGGGAAAAUGAAUAUCUUCAAAGUUUGCAUUUUAAUUCACUUAGGUUGAAUGAUGGUUCUUUUGUUAAUAUGUCACUUCCUAUUGUUUUGUCUAUUGAUGAUGAGACUAAAGAGAGAAUUGGAUCUUCUUCUAAUGUUGGGUUGAUUGGACCUGAUGGGGAUAUUGUUGGUAUUCUUAGAAGGUUAGUAUAGUCUUCUUCUGGCAUUAGUUUUGUGGUUAAUUGGUGUUUUCUGAUUGAUUAAUUGUUCAAUUGUUAUUAUCAUAAUUUUAAGGGUAAUUGGUAUUUCCUAGUUGAUUAAUUUUUCCAUUUUUAUUAUCAUGGUUUAACCUCAGUUAGAAGGUGAUAAAAGGCUGAGUGCAUGUUUAGAUUGGCGGUAAGUUAGAUGAAAUCAUGGUGAUAUCGUCGUAAUUUUGUUGAAGCUUAAACUGUAGCUUUUGACAAAAUCAGGGUGGGACACCAUGAUUUUGCCAAACUUAUCGUCAAUCCAAACAUACACUGAAUUGAAGAGAAUGUGAGCGUUUUGAUGAACUAUAGUAACUCAUCAUAUAUUACAUGAUUUAUUUUUUCACACAUCUCGCAUGUUUGUUUACAUGCCUACGAUUUUCAAUCUUAUAUGUUGCUUUAACUUGAACUUAUUAAAUCAGUGUGUUUUAAAUUAGAUUUUGCAAUGUUUUAGAAAUUGAACCGGACAUCAAACUGACGAGACCUAUGAGUCAUAGUUAAUGUCUUUAAACUAUUCAAAUUUCAAGCUGGGAUGAAAUCGCAGUUGAAUCACCCAAAUAACCGAACCGGAGGCAAUCUCAGUUCAUGGUUUAACUGGUUGAACUGUCCAUAUUUUAGCACGUUCAAUUUUUGAAUUACAAUGGUUAUGACUAUUUAAGUAAACUCCUGUCAUGGUGUCUCUGAGUUUUCAUUUUUCAUUAACCAAUGAACAUUAAUUUAACUUCUUUGCAGCAUUGAAAUCUACAAGCAUAACAAAGAAGAAAGAAUAGCUAGAACCUGGGGAACAACUGCUCCAGGAUUGCCUUAUGUUGAGGAGGUCAUUGCUCCAGCUGGAAAUUGGCUUAUUGGAGGAGAUUUGGAAGUGCUAAAACCUAUCAAAUACAAUGAUGGUCUUGAUAACUACAGGCUAUCUCCCAAGCAACUUCGGGAAGAAUUUGAUAGGCGUAAAGCUGAUGCAGUUUUCGCCUUUCAGUUAAGAAAUCCUGUGCAUAACGGUCAUGCCUUGUUAAUGAACGAUACUCGUCAACGUCUACUAGACAUGGGUUACAAAAAUCCGAUUUUAUUGCUUCAUCCUCUUGGAGGUUUCACAAAGGUUGACGAUGUUCCCUUAGAUGUCAGGAUGGAGCAACAUAGCAAGGUAAUUUCCAUCAUUUUUUCUCAUAUGGCGUCGAGUAAGAAUCAAUUUUGUUUAAUAUCGGUGCUAUAGAGUAGCGGUUUUUGAACACAUCGCUAUUGCUCUGUGAUACUCUAUUUAGUUCAAACUGUUGUCAAAUAGCAGCUUUAGCGGCGUUGUAGAACUGUUGCGUAGCAGAAUUUGAAUAAACGCGCUAUUUUCCGCGAUCCGCGAUUGACAACACUGGUUAAGAUAAUGUGCAUGUGCCUAUAACAAUCAGUGCUAUAAAAAUUGACCUUGGAAGUGGUUUAACUGCUAUUUAAUUUCAGCUAUCCAUUCAUUUGUAAUUCUUUUAUCCAGUGAGCUUUAACCAGUGUUUCAAAAACUGAAUCUAACCAGAUAGUUCGACCGGUUGAAUUGUGACCAAGAACUGUCUACUGAUUAUUUGAGAAGUUUGAUUGUGGUUUCGACCCGGUAUAAAGCACUUGAACCAUGACCUAGAGAUCUUGCUUGUUUGGUGUACGAUUCGUUUUUUAAAACAUUGGUCUUAUCGCUAAUUGUAAAGUACUUUUUCUUGUUCAUAGGUUCUAGAAGAUGGAGUUCUUGAUCCUGAGACGACCAUAGUUUCUAUAUUUCCAUCACCUAUGCAUUAUGCAGGUCCAACUGAAGUUCAAUGGCAUGCGAAGGCACGGAUAAAUGCCGGCGCCAACUUCUAUAUUGUUGGUCGCGAUCCCGCUGGUAUGGGUCAUCCAACUGAGAAACGGGACUUGUACGACCCUGAUCAUGGAAAAAAGGUGCUUAGCAUGGCUCCUGGUCUCGAGAAGCUUAACAUUUUGCCAUUCAGGGUAAGUAGUAUUGCUUUUGCACAUGAAUUUAGGUUCCUCCUCUCUGAAAUAUGUUCUUUCAAUAUUUUCUUUAGUCAAAACCGUAUAAACAGAUCCAAUUCAAACUGCACUUAAACUGAUCCGAUUUCUUGAAGAAAGAAAUCCGAGCCGAAUCACAUUCUGUUAUAGUCUUUGGAUAGGAUGUGUUUCUGGCUUAGAAUUGAUCAAAACUGAACUGCAAACACCUCUAUUCUUCAUAAUGAUGCCCAUUUUUCUUUUGUACAAAGUUUCAUUGAAGUUAAUACUUUAUCAUUCAAAAAAACUUCUUAAUGAUAUACACAUCAUGUCUCUUAAUGUUUGUUUCAUUUUAAUGAUUUACCUUGUGUGCCAUUUUAUAUUACAGGUGGCAGCUUAUGACACUAAGGUAAACAAGAUGGCAUUUUUCGACCCUAGCCGUGCUAAAGAUUUCCUCUUUAUAUCUGGAACCAAGGUAUAUAUUAUCAAUUGUUCUCUAAUAUGUUUCAGAACCAAUCAACCAAAAAUCUAAAUUUCGUCAUGAAUAUUAUCACAUAAAUAUAUAGUCUGUGUUAGGUUUACAAUGAUAGAUCUUAAAAAUAACUUCAACAAGCAUAUCACAGCUAUAACUUCAACAAAAGUAACUUGUAUCAUAUAUUAAUAUGUUGGAACUGGGAACUAUAAAAAUACAUAUAAAGUUUUUAUGCGUUUAUCUUAAAAAUUAUAUGAGGAUUAAUUCAAAAGUAUACGAAAUGAAAAUUAUGUAAAAGACACUGGUUCCUGUUUAUGUAACUUAUUUUCUUGUUAGAGAUAUAACCUAAGAAGCACAAACACACCUCUCCAAAGUGUCGUGUUGGCGUGUCAUACACAUUUCGGACACCGUCACUUCUUGGACACACCUUGAAAACAUGUCAGACACCUCUUAAAUAAUUCCAAUCUAAAAAAACGGGUUCCGUUCGGCACCUGUUAGACAUGUCUUGAACAUGCACCAAGAAACUGGGCCGACACUUGGUCAGGGCCCUUAAGAUCGAAUUUCAUUAUAUAACUUUUUUAC
Molecule: long non-coding RNA, 7231 nt
Filed under: Medicago truncatula (barrel medic)
Lineage: Eukaryota; Viridiplantae; Streptophyta; Magnoliopsida; Fabales; Fabaceae
Description: long non-coding RNA (MTRU_LNC003867)
Source: RNAcentral